Molecule: ribosomal RNA, 1110 nt
Filed under: Neopetrosia sigmafera
Lineage: Eukaryota; Metazoa; Porifera; Demospongiae; Haplosclerida; Petrosiidae
Description: SSU rRNA
Rfam family: Eukaryotic small subunit ribosomal RNA
Source: RNAcentral
GAUUGCAGCGGUCGGGGAGUUCGGGACGUUUACUUUGAACAAAUUAGAGUGUUCCAAGCAGGCCGGUCGCUUUGAAUACGUUAGCAUGGAAUAAUGGAAUAGGGCUGCUCUCGUCCUAUUUUGUUGGUUUUCGGGACGGCAGUCAUGGUCGACAGGGACAGUUGGGGGCAUUCGUAUUCAGUUGUCAGAGGUGAAAUUCUCGGAUUUGCGGAAGACGAACGACUGCGAAAGCAUUUGCCAAGGAUGUUUUCAUUAAUCAAGAACGAAAGUUGGGGGUUCGAAGACGAUCAGAUACCGUCGUAGUCCCAACCGUAAACUAUGCCGGCCAGGGAUCGGCGGACGUCGGUGGCGACUCCGUCGGCACCUCGCGAGAAAUCAGAGCCUUUGGGUUCCGGGGGGAGUAUGGUCGCAAGGCUGAAACUUAAAGGAAUUGACGGAAGGGCACCACCAGGAGUGGAGCCUGCGGCUUAAUUUGACUCAACACGGGGAACCUCACCAGGUCCGGACAUGGGAAGGAUUGACAGAUCGAGAGCUCUUUCUUGAUUCUAUGGGUGGUGGUGCAUGGCCGUUCUUAGUUGGUGGAGUGAUUUGUCUGGUUGAUUCCGUUAACGAACGAGACCUUAACCUGCUAACUAGUCGUGCCGUUUCCGAACGGCGGGGCGAUCCGGUCCGUCGCGCGGCCUCUCGCGGGUCGCCGGCGGUCCGGUCGUCUCCGGUCCCUCGCGGGCCAGGCGACUUCUUAGAGGGACACUCGGCGUUUCAGCCGGGGGAGGACUGAGGCAAUAACAGGUCUGUGAUGCCCUUAGAUGUUCUGGGCCGCACGCGCGCUACACUGACGGAGGCAGCGAGCGUGUCCUUCGCCGGCAGGUGCGGGCAAUCUUGCGAGUCUCCGUCGUGCUGGGGAUAGAUGGUUGCAAUUGUCGAUCUUGAACGAGGAAUUCCUAGUAAGCGCGAGUCAUCAGCUCGCGCUGAUUACGUCCCUGCCCUUUGUACACACCGCCCGUCGCUACUACCGAGUGCUGGUGUCCAAGAAAGAGUCGGACUCGGGCCUUGCGCGAGGGGCGACCCUCGCCGGGUUUCGGGGAAGUCUCUUGACUGUUCCCCAGGGGA